UACGGAGGGUGCGAGCGUUGUCCGGAAUUAUUGGGCGUAAAGAGCUCGUAGGCGGUUUGUCGCGUCGACUGUGAAAACCUACAGCUUAACUGUGGGCUUGCAGUCGAUACGGGCAGACUUGAGUUCGGUAGGGGAGACUGGAAUUCCUGGUGUAGCGGUGAAAUGCGCAGAUAUCAGGAGGAACACCGGUGGCGAAGGCGGGUCUCUGGGCCGAUACUGACGCUGAGGAGCGAAAGCGUGGGGAGCGAACAGG
Molecule: ribosomal RNA, 253 nt
Filed under: uncultured bacterium
Lineage: Bacteria
Description: partial 16S ribosomal RNA
Rfam family: Bacterial small subunit ribosomal RNA
Source: RNAcentral